CUCUUAUCCAGAGUUGGUGGAGGGACAGGCCCUUUGAAACCCAGCAACCGUCAUGAGAAUGGCAUGGUGCUAACCUGAAGCAGGAAGGAACGAAUUCCUUCUUGGACGAUAAGAG
RNAcentral lists this non-coding RNA (115 nucleotides) under Halobacillus sp. RNAcentral describes it as "SAM-I sequence". It matches the Rfam family "SAM riboswitch aptamer (S box leader)". From Rfam's summary of the family: The SAM riboswitch is found upstream of a number of genes which code for proteins involved in methionine or cysteine biosynthesis in Gram-positive bacteria. The SAM riboswitch acts at the level of transcription termination control. RNAcentral also lists the same sequence under 1 other name. Lineage: Bacteria; Bacillati; Bacillota; Bacilli; Caryophanales; Bacillaceae. The record is from RNAcentral.